GAUGAAGAACGCAGCGAAAUGCGAUAAGUAGUGUGAAUUGCAGAAUUCAGUGAAUCAUCGAAUAUUUGAACGCACAUUGCGCCCCUUGGUAUUCCAUGGGGCAUGCCUGUUCGAGCGUCAUUUGUACCUUCAAGCUUUGCUUGGUGUUGGGUGUUUGUCUCGCCUUUGCGUGUAGACUCGCCUUAAAAUAAUUGGCAGCCGGCGUAUUGAUUUCGGAGCGCAGUACAUCUCGCGCUUUGCACUCAUAACGACAGCGUCCAAAAGUACAUUUUACACUCUUGACCUCGGAUCAGGUAGGGAUACCCGCUGAACUUAAGCAUAUCAAUAAGCGGAGA
This 335-nucleotide unclassified non-coding RNA is filed under the name soil metagenome. RNAcentral's name for it is "partial contains 5.8S ribosomal RNA, internal transcribed spacer 2, and large subunit ribosomal RNA". The stretch from base 1 to 120 matches the Rfam family "5.8S ribosomal RNA", at positions 35 to 154 of the family's 154-position model. The record is from RNAcentral.